UUUCCGUAGGUGAACCUGCGGAAGGAUCAUUACAGUGUUCUCUGCCCUCACGGGUAGAAACGCCCACCCUUGUGUAUUAUAUCUUUGUUGCUUUGGCAGGCCGCCCUCGGGCACCGGCUCCGGCUGGAUCGCGCCUGCCAGAGGAAACCCAAACUCUGAAUGUUAGUGUCGUCUGAGUACUAUCUAAUAGUUAAAACUUUCAACAACGGAUCUCUUGGUUCUGACAUCGAUGAAGAACGCAGC
Molecule: unclassified non-coding RNA, 243 nt
Filed under: plant metagenome
Description: partial contains small subunit ribosomal RNA, internal transcribed spacer 1, and 5.8S ribosomal RNA
Rfam family: 5.8S ribosomal RNA (bases 195-243)
Source: RNAcentral